This 506-nucleotide ribosomal RNA is filed under the name uncultured bacterium. RNAcentral's name for it is "partial 16S ribosomal RNA". It matches the Rfam family "Bacterial small subunit ribosomal RNA", at positions 29 to 523 of the family's 1533-position model. The record is from RNAcentral.
AGUGAACGCUGGCGGUAGGCCUAACACAUGCAAGUCGAACGGCAGCACAGAGGAGCUUGCUCCUUGGGUGGCGAGUGGCGGACGGGUGAGGAAUACAUCGGAAUCUACUCUGUCGUGGGGGAUAACGUAGGGAAACUUACGCUAAUACCGCAUACGACCUACGGGUGAAAGCAGGGGACCUUCGGGCCUUGCGCGAUUGAAUGAGCCGAUGUCGGAUUAGCUAGUUGGCGGGGUAAAGGCCCACCAAGGCGACGAUCCGUAGCUGGUCUGAGAGGAUGAUCAGCCACACUGGAGCUGAGACACGGUCCAGACUCCUACGGGAGGCAGCAGUGGGGAAUAUUGGACAAUAGGCGCAAGCCUGAUCCAGCCAUACCGCGUGGGUGAAGAAGGCCUUCGGGUUGUAAAGCCCUUUUGUUGGGAAAGAAAUCCAGCUGGCUAAUACCCGGUUGGGAUGACGGUACCCAAAGAAUAAGCACCGGCUAACUUCGUGCCAGCCGCCGCGGUAA